CCUACGGGUGGCAGCAGUGGGGAAUAUUGCACAAUGGGGGAAACCCUGAUGCAGCGACGCCGCGUGAGUGAAGAAGUAUUUCGGUAUGUAAAGCUCUAUCAGCAGGGAAGAAAAUGACGGUACCUGACUAAGAAGCCCCGGCUAACUACGUGCCAGCAGCCGCGGUAAUACGUAGGGGGCAAGCGUGAUCCGGAUUUACUGGGUGUAAGGGGAGCGUAGACGGCCAGACAAGUCAGAAGUGAAAGCCCAGGGCCAAACCCUGGUACUGCUUUUGAAACUGCCGGGCUGGAGUGCAGGAGAGGUAAGCGGAAUUCCUAGUGUAGCGGUGAAAUGCGUAGAUAUUAGGAGGAACACCAGUGGCGAAGGCGGCUUACUGGACUGUAACUGACGUUGAGGCUCGAAAGCGUGGGGAGCAAACAGGAUUAGAUACCCCAGUAGUC
This 440-nucleotide ribosomal RNA is filed under the name uncultured bacterium. Its description in RNAcentral is "partial 16S ribosomal RNA". It matches the Rfam family "Bacterial small subunit ribosomal RNA", at positions 338 to 795 of the family's 1533-position model. The record is from RNAcentral.